UAAGAAUGAAUUUCUGCCCUAUCAACUUUCGAUGGUAAUGUAGUGGAUUACCAUGGUGAUGACGGGUAACGGGGAAUUAGGGUUUGAUUCCGGAGAAAAGGCCUGAGAGACGGCCAUUACUUCUAAGGAAGGCAGCAGGCGCGUAAAAUUAACCCAAUCCUAAUACGGGGAGGUAGUGACAAGAAAUAUUGAUAUUGGACCCAAAGGGUACAAUGAUUGAAAUGAGAACAAUAUAAAAAACUUAACGACUAACAAUUGGAGGGCAAGUCUGGUGCCAGCAGCCGCGGUAAUUCCAGCUCCAAGAGUGUAUAUUAAAAGUUGUUGCGGUUAAAAAGCUCGUAGUUGAAUUUUCUGAAAAUAAUCUUGUGAUUGAUUUAACCGUCAUGAACAAAAAUUGUUUACAUACUUGAUAGAUGGAACAUUAUCUUAAUGAC
RNAcentral lists this ribosomal RNA (434 nucleotides) under uncultured eukaryote. RNAcentral describes it as "bacterial SSU rRNA". It matches the Rfam family "Eukaryotic small subunit ribosomal RNA", at positions 294 to 725 of the family's 1831-position model. The record is from RNAcentral.